AGAGCCAUGGCGGUAUGCUUUACACAUGCAAGUCGAACGAAAGCUUUAGCUUUAGUGGCGAACGGGUGAGUAACACGUAAGAAUCUACCUUUAGGAGGGAAAUAACAAUUGGAAACAUUUGCUAAUAUCCCAUAAGCUGAAAAGUAAAAUAUUUUUUGCCUAAAGAUGAGCUUGCGCCUGAUUAGCUAGUUGGUGAGGUAAUGGCUUACCAAGGCCACGAUCAGUAGCUGGUUUGAGAGGAUGAUCAGCCACAUUGGAACUGAGACACGGUCCAGACUUUUACGGAAGGCAGCAGUGGGGAAUUUUCCGCAAUGGGCGCAAGCCUGACGGAGCAAUACCGCGUGAAGGAUGAAUGCCCGUGGGUUGUAAACUUCUUUUAUUAGGGAAGAAAAAAAUGACGGUACCUAAUGAAUAAGCAUCGGCUAACUCCGUGCCAGCAGCCGCGGUAAUACGGGGGAUGCAAGCGUUAUCCGGAAUCAUUGGGCGUAAAGAGUCUGUAGGUUGUUUAGUAAGUCUGCUGUUAAAUGUUAGAGCUUAACUCUAAAAAAGCAGUGGAAACUACUAAACUAGAGUGUGGUAGAGGCAAAGGGAAUUCCCAGUGUAGCGGUGAAAUGCGUAGAUAUUGGGAAGAACACCAGAGCGAAAGCGCUUUGCUGGGCCAUCACUGACACUAAGAGACGAAAGCUAGGGGAGCAAAUGGGAUUAGAUACCCCAGUAGUCCUAGCCGUAAACGAUGGAUACUAGAUGUUGCGCGUAUCGAUCCGUGCAGUAUCGUAGCUAACGCGUUAAGUAUCCCGCCUGGGAAGUACGCUCGCAAGAGUGAAACUCAAAUGAAUUGACGG
Molecule: ribosomal RNA, 842 nt
Filed under: uncultured bacterium
Lineage: Bacteria
Description: bacterial SSU rRNA
Rfam family: Bacterial small subunit ribosomal RNA
Source: RNAcentral